Molecule: ribosomal RNA, 402 nt
Filed under: uncultured bacterium
Lineage: Bacteria
Description: bacterial SSU rRNA
Rfam family: Bacterial small subunit ribosomal RNA
Source: RNAcentral
GGAAUAUUGCACAAUGGGCGGAAGCCUGAUGCAGCGACGCCGCGUGAGGGAUGAAGGCCUUCGGGUUGUAAACCUCUUUCAGCAGGGACGAAGCGUGAGUGACGGUACCUGCAGAAGAAGCACCGGCUAACUACGUGCCAGCAGCCGCGGUAAUACGUAGGGUGCGAGCGUUGUCCGGAAUUACUGGGCGUAAAGAGUUCGUAGGCGGUUUGUCGCGUCGUUUGUGAAAACCCGGGGCUCAACUUCGGGCUUGCAGGCGAUACGGGCAGACUUGAGUGUUUCAGGGGAGACUGGAAUUCCUGGUGUAGCGGUGAAAUGCGCAGAUAUCAGGAGGAACACCGGUGGCGAAGGCGGGUCUCUGGGAAACAACUGACGCUGAGGAACGAAAGCGUGGGUAGCAAA